Molecule: long non-coding RNA, 323 nt
Filed under: Ananas comosus (pineapple)
Lineage: Eukaryota; Viridiplantae; Streptophyta; Magnoliopsida; Poales; Bromeliaceae
Description: long non-coding RNA (ACOM_LNC029659)
Source: RNAcentral
AAAUAUAAAAAAUAAAAAAUAAAUUAAAAAUAAAGAUUAAAUAUAGGCUUCGUUUGGGAUUGCGAGGAGAUUGCGUUAUAUGCGGUGAGAAAGGACGAUGGAAAAAUACUCUGUUUGUUUCCAUACAUAAUAUUGCGUUUCACAUAUUGCGGUUAGUCGGUUACGAUAUAUUUUCUACGGUUCCAUCGGAGAACACAGAAGCAUAUUCCUAUAUGCUUUUUCUCAACUCUAUUCUAUUUAAUAGCGUUAGAUCCACCUCAAUACCAAACUAAGCCUAAAUAUAGGUGAGCCCAAACUGAGACGGCACGCGGCUAGACUCGUGC